RNAcentral lists this long non-coding RNA (2301 nucleotides) under Homo sapiens (human). RNAcentral describes it as "HSALNT0376048". The record is from RNAcentral. Lineage: Eukaryota; Metazoa; Chordata; Mammalia; Primates; Hominidae.
CGAGACUCCCUCUCAAAAAAAAAAAAAAAACUGUUAGGUAUAUAUUACGGUAUAUAUAUUAAGGCAGACCUGGGUCGGUCUCAUACUGGAAUGCCUAUUAGCUGCAUGAGGGGAAACAGUAACCAGAAAGUAGAGGACUGGACAACAUCUGGACCAAGGGAUCAAAAUUAACAUCAAUAAGGAAGUCGCUAUGCACAGUUCACACUUAAGGACUGAGGAAGAGUUAUGUUCCAUCUCCUUGAAGUCCUAGAAUCAGGCGUUUCUUUAAGAGGCCCUACUUCCUCUAAUUGGAUAAUUCUAGAAACCGGUAUUUGAAUCUGAGGAGGCCAUAAUCCCAAACAAAUUAAUGCAGUGAUAGAAAACCAAAUACCUCACGUACUCACUUCUAUGUGGGAGCUAAACAUUGAACACAUAUGGGAACAAUAGACACUGCAGACUACCAGAGUGGGGAGGUCGAGAUGGGAGUGUGGAUGGAAAAACUACCUAUUGGGUACAAUGCUCACUGACUGGAGGCAAUGUAUUCAUGUAACAAGCCUGCACAUGUACCCUGUACCGAAAAUAAAAGUUGAAAAAAAAGUCUUUAACUUCACUUAAUAACUAAAAUGGCCAUUUAAAACUGUAUCUAAAUAUGUAUCACAAACAUGUCUUUUAUUAAAUAUGGAUAAUAAGGGAUAUUUUAAUCUCUAUUAAAAAUAUCAAAAUAUAAUGCCAGUUUCAUAUAUGCAUAUUAAUUAUGAGAAAAUAAUUAAAAUAGUGAUUUCUUACAAAGUAGUAUCAAUAUAGUUGAAAAUACUCUCAGUGGAAAGGAAACCAUUAAAUAUACACAACGAGUCUCCAACAGAUUAUUGGUAUUAAUAAGUAAAUUGUUUAGAGUGCUAUUUGUUAUUAUUUGGAAUUUAUUAGGCAAAGUGUCAAAUAAGCAGGCAAUAUGAAUCUCUUUCCUUAACCAUAAUGAGUAAACACUGUCAUGGAAACAUUAAAAGUCUUUCAUUUGGAAAGACCCCAAGAAUUCAUGAGCUGAAAGGGUUUUAAUAUAGGGAACUCUCAUCAGUAAAGUGGAACUUUUGAAAAAGCAUAUUUUGGAGAAUCAUAGUAAAGUUUUACAUUGUUUGUAAAGUUUAACGUCACAGCAAUUCUUCAUAGAAAAAAAUCUUAAAUCUAAGAUUGUCAAUCCACUUCUUUUCGAGUAUUGUAGUCACUUAGAAAUAGCAGUUAAAAUUGAAAAAAAACCUCUUAAAAGCAUUGACUUUUAUACUUCAUUCCAACUAAACAAUUCACUAUUUACUUAUUUCACAGUUAAUCUCUAUGCUAAAUCUGAAAGUAUGCUCUCAAUAACAACUAUAAUAAAAGAAUGUUGGGAUAAUGACACAAGAUGAUAAAAGCAAGGAAAUGCUCAUUUAAGGAUAUAAUCUCUGUCAUAUAUACGAGCUUUAAGUAGAAAUGAGGUAGGAUAAAUGCUUCACAAAAAGUUAUCCAGAGAAUUCCUAUAGAACAAAGACUUAUCAAAAGGUGAUACUUUCCAAUCCUUGUUGACAAAGACUUUCUAAUAUAAGAUAUAUUGUUCUAUAAAACUAUGUGCAAAUUAAUUUCCUAGGCAAGAGUUCCUCACCAUCUUUAGGUAACUGAAAAUUUAUAGAAGAAUCGUAAAACUAAUUUUGUUAGUGGCAGUGUUUGGUUAAUUAGUAGGGCAGAAGUAAUGCUGUGUGGUCAGCAAACCCAUUUUUUUUUUCCUUCAGAUAGGAUCUCACUCUGUCACCCAGGCUGAAGUGCAGUGGCACCAUCAUGGCUCACUGCAGCCUUAACCUCCCGUGCUCAAGCAAUUUUCUCGCCUCAACCUCCUGAGUAGUUGGGUCUACAGGCGCAUGUCACCACGUCUGGCUAGUUUUUUAAUUUUUAUUUUUUGUAGACACAUGGUCCCACUAUGUUGCUCAGGCUGGUUUCAAACUCUUGGAUGCAAGGUAUCCUCCCAUCUUUGCCUCUCAAAGUGCUGGGAUUACAGGCGUGAGCUACUGUGCCAGCCCAUUUCUUUUUCCUCCAAAAUACACAGCUAAAUUAUAUUCCCACACCUCCCCUGCAAUUAGGUUGGGCCAUGUGGUUGACUUCAAGUUAAUGGGAUUAAGGAAUUAUCCUGCUGGCUCUCCAAUAAGCUUUCUUCCCUCCUUACCCAAUGUUGUGUAUCCUUUGGAAGACUCCAAAGCCCUAAAGAAUGGCAGAGUCACUUCCAGGGUUCCUGAAUGACUAAAUGGGACUCAAUGAAACAGAUUCACCCCACUCUUCACCCAACUUGCACUGGAAUGUGAU